RNAcentral lists this unclassified non-coding RNA (1215 nucleotides) under Hevea brasiliensis (rubber tree). Lineage: Eukaryota; Viridiplantae; Streptophyta; Magnoliopsida; Malpighiales; Euphorbiaceae. The record is from RNAcentral.
GUUUUCAUUAUAUUUUCAAUUACGCAAACAAGAUGUUUAAUACUUGUCUAUAUAUGGGUACAAAGACAUGAUGGACUAACGAUAUGAAAAAAUAAAAAGAAGGAAAUUGUAAUGAGCAUAUCUGGAAAUAUAGUCAGUACUAAUGAAUGGCCUCGACCUUAACUCUUGAAUGUGACCGGCAGAAUUCCAGGAUUUUAUUCGUAUACAGGUUUGAAGUUUUUGUAGGCUAUUACUGCAUAGAAAGGGUCUGAUCCAGACAAAAAUCCUAGCAAACCCAUGAACCAUUUAAAGGCUGAAUUAUCCUCCUGAGCGCCACCAGAAGCAGGCAGUUUCCGAACAAUCUCUGGUUGAGUGAAUCCUUCCACAGACUGGAAGUAUUGCACGACUAGCUGAACCCGACUGUAUCCAGUCCCUUCUCUCCAUGCUCCAAUGGCUUUCUCAUAGAACAUUCGAUUGCUAAAGCUCACAAUGAACACCCCUCCAGGCCUUAGCACUCGAAACACCUCUGCAAAUACCUGCAAUGGAAUUAGUCCAUUUAGGCAUCUCCAAUUUUAUAUAUAUGGCUCCCAACAAAACUAACCUUCUCUGGCUGUUGAAGAUACUGCACACUAACAGUGCAUAUCACUGCAUCAAAACUGGUACUCGCAAAUUCCAGCUUCUGGUCCCGAUUGAGAUCCUUCACAAUAAAGUAAUCCAGCCUUGGGUUCUUGGCAAGUUCUUGUGCGUUAAGCCCAUGUCCCACUACUCUUUUGUAUGCAACUUCUUUAGGCAGAUGACUAACCCAAGAGCUCAUGAGAUCAAGAAUCUCUGAACCAGGUCUCAACCUCUCUCUAUAGAGGUUGGUCAAUGUGGAAAUAAAGCCAUCAUCAACAUGGGUCACAAACCGUGGAUAGGCAUAGAAUUCUGUGUCAGGGUAUGUGUUGAGUUUGGUUCUGCCUUCCUGGGUAAGAACAAGUCGCUUAAUUUUGCCUGCAGUGGAUUCUUGAGUUUCUCUGUUAUCAUUUAAAGAAUUGGAAAUUUUUGCAGGAAGAAAUUUGGUUUGGAAUAGAAAAGAGGAUGAGGUCUGCAGGGCGUUUGCAGCAGGUGGUAAGGCUAAGGCCAGCAUGGAUUUGAAGUGAUCAAGUUCUUUAGAUUCUGUGUCGGAGAAUGGAUGGAUGAUAAGUUGAUAACUUCAUUUGCUGGGUCUGGUUCAUCCUUUCAUGGGCCCAAGAUGAA